UACGAAGGGGGGCUAGCGUUGCUCGGAAUCACUGGGCGUAAAGCGCACGUAGGCGGAUUGCUAAGUCAGGGGUGAAAUCCUGGAGCUCAACUCCAGAACUGCCCUUGAUACUGGCGGUCUCGAGUCCGGAAGAGGUGAGUGGAACUGCGAGUGUAGAGGUGAAAUUCGUAGAUAUUCGCAAGAACACCGGUGGCGAAGGCGGGUCUCUGGGCCGUAACUGACGCUGAGGAGCGAAAGCAUGGGGAGCGAACAGG
Molecule: ribosomal RNA, 254 nt
Filed under: uncultured bacterium
Lineage: Bacteria
Description: partial 16S ribosomal RNA
Rfam family: Bacterial small subunit ribosomal RNA
Source: RNAcentral